GACUGGCAUCGCUUGAUCCCCGAUGGCUCAACCAGCCACGGCAGACAAUUUAAUACCGUAGCUGCCUUUUGAGCGGGUUAGCUGCAAUCCGAAACGGAGAAUUCCGUUAGGACUGCGGUUACUUUCCUUU
RNAcentral lists this non-coding RNA (130 nucleotides) under Ruthenibacterium lactatiformans. RNAcentral describes it as "DUF2800 RNA". It matches the Rfam family "DUF2800 RNA", at positions 8 to 138 of the family's 158-position model. Rfam says of the family: Actinobacteria, Firmicutes, Synergistetes (1 example). Terminator (Clostridia) Lineage: Bacteria; Bacillati; Bacillota; Clostridia; Eubacteriales; Oscillospiraceae. The record is from RNAcentral.